RNAcentral lists this ribosomal RNA (279 nucleotides) under uncultured bacterium. RNAcentral describes it as "partial 16S ribosomal RNA". It matches the Rfam family "Bacterial small subunit ribosomal RNA", at positions 506 to 784 of the family's 1533-position model. The record is from RNAcentral.
UGCCAGCAGCCGCGGUAAUACUGAAGGUGCAAGCGUUAAUCGGAAUCACUGGGCGUAAAGCGCUCGUAGGUGGCCUUGUAAGUCAGAUGUGAAAGCCCACGGCUCAACCGUGGAAUUGCAUUUGAUACUGCAUCGCUAGAGUAUAGGAGAGGGAAGUGGAAUUUCUGGUGUAGGAGUGAAAUCCGUAGAGAUCAGAAGGAACACCGGUGGCGAAGGCGACUUCCUGGACUAUUACUGACCCUGAGGAGCCAAAGCGCCGGCAUCUAACCGGAUCAGAUA